This 410-nucleotide ribosomal RNA is filed under the name Acanthamoeba genotype T4. RNAcentral's name for it is "SSU rRNA". It matches the Rfam family "Eukaryotic small subunit ribosomal RNA", at positions 785 to 1096 of the family's 1831-position model. The record is from RNAcentral. Lineage: Eukaryota; Discosea; Longamoebia; Acanthamoebidae.
CCAUUUUCUGCCACCGAAUACAUUAGCAUGGGAUAAUGGAAUAGGACCCUGUCCUCCUAUUUUCAGUUGGUUUUGGCAGCGCGAGGACUAGGGUAAUGAUUAAUAGGGAUAGUUGGGGGCAUUAAUAUUUAAUUGUCAGAGGUGAAAUUCUUGGAUUUAUGAAAGAUUAACUUCUGCGAAAGCAUCUGCCAAGGAUGUUUUCAUUAAUCAAGAACGAAAGUUAGGGGAUCGAAGACGAUCAGAUACCGUCGUAGUCUUAACCAUAAACGAUGCCGACCAGCGAUUAGGAGACGUUGAAUACAAAACACCACCAUCGGCGCGGUCGUCCUUGGCGUCUCGGUUUCGGCCGGGGCGCGGGGAUGGCUUAGCCCGGUGGCACCGGUGAAUGACUCCCUAGCAGCUUGUGAGAA